GUCACAUCUUCCCUGUGUGUUUCCAAAAAUAAACUACACUUAGGUAGCAGGGGACAGUUUCGCACUAUAGGCCCGGAUACCCCAUAUCUGAAGUGAUAUUACAACUUUUUUAAAAAAAAUGGAAAUACCCUUUGAAGUGAUAUUACAUGUGUAAAAAUGUAUAGAAUAAUUUUGGGAUGCAUGUCAAAUGUAGCUGAGUGCUUAGUAAAAAUGUUGAUAUACAACAUGUAGGUGUCACCAUGAUUCCUAGCAUAUAGAUGGGUGCAAAUAAGAAACUAAGACACGUGGUCAGUUGCUGAAGAAAUUCCGGUGAAAACAUGGAGGGUCCAGCAAAAGGUCUGUAGCUGAGACGGAAGAUGGAUGGCCCCAUAUGAAAGAACCAAGGAAACUGUCCCCUGCCACCUUAGAGAGACCAAGGAUGGUAACCCUUGUCUGACAAUUUAUAUUUCUAAAUCCAUGGAGUGCAUUUCUGCAAGACAAAUCUCUACUUCAGUGUGGUGGACGAGUGCAGGAAGUGCAGAAUCUCGCCUGCUCCUGGUAUGGUGCAUUUUCUGAUUCCUCUAAAACAACGCAAUACUUUUUUGUACAAUAAUCAGUACUUAUGCCGUGUUAAUGGGUGCUCUAGGCACUUGCAAUACGAGUUCAACAAUAAAUUCAGCCGUCAGAACAGAAACCCGGAGUGAGACUGGCGCUGGAGGGCGUUUUCAAAAUAAUAUUUAAAAUUAAUGAUUUACAGCAGAAAGACACGACAAGUAAUACGAAGUUUAGAGAUCUUCGAAGUAAUCUGCCUAUCGUUCCUAAUAAUUCUCCAAGUGUUACACUUGAAGGCUUUCUUGUACAGAUGUGGACAUUUCAGUUGAUAAAGUGUGUGGUUAUUUUCUAUGGUACCGGUGAAUAAAUAUUACAAUUUUGAAUCAAGUUGUGGUGAACAUAUUAACUGGCUCAAACACGUCCACAUAUUACAGAAACAUGCAUAUAAUGAACUUCAGUUUGCUUAUUUUACUGAGAAGGCAAUGAAUCGUUGGUUCUUGAUCGAUUUCCAUGGGAGGAUCAUUGAUUAAAUUUUAGUCUAGGGGUGUGAAAUAUCCGAGAGGCAGGUGGUCUAGGGCCCGCUUAUGGGCUCCGAGUGGCCAAUAAAGGGUCCAAGGCAAAGUCGAUCCUAAUGUUCACCCUGGGGGUAAUGCCCCCCUCUCCCAGCUCCCGUGUUUUACAGUAUUUUGAUAACGAAAUCUGGUUUAGUAAUUGUAGUAGCUUUAGUACACAUACAUGUACGUUAUAAACACACUUUAUUGAAAUAUUCACUUGUAGGAAUAUAUCACAAAUAAGAAAAUAUGAUAUAUACCAUUACUGGAUAAUUACUUUCUGUCACCUCGCAGUGAGCAGACAUAACUGUCAUGGAACAAGGGGUCGUCAAUACGGGACUGCGAUCCCGAAGAUUCCAUUUUCUUAAAAUCGUUGAUAGGAGACACCAAUUGACACCUGCAUAGAUUCUUCAGACGAAAAAAAAAAAAAAACCAACCACACACACCAAAAAAAAAAAAAAAAAAAAACCCAGCCAAGACAAACCACUGCAGGAAUGGGAAGAGCUAACUGUAGUUAGCAAUUAACAUGAACAUAUUUCUUACACAGAAAAUGUUUAUGCAGUCAUCAAGUACAAUUUGCCAGGGUUUCUACUUCUUCUUUUCAUUUUUUUUUUAAUUCUUAGUUUAUUGCUCAUAUCAAUACAAACAGUACCAUCAGUAGUACAGUAGCACUGACACAAAGCAUUACAUUGCAGAAAAGAUAUAAAUACAAAUUACAAUAGUCUUAUGAAAUUUUCAAUAGCACUUGUUUUCAAUACAUAAUUACUAUACUUUAUAACUUUACACCACAAAACUGUACACGUUUUGACAUGAUUUAAUUCCGCCAGGAUUUCUUGAAAUAAGAAUAUGUCCAGCUGAAACGUACACCAGCAUAUUAUAAACGCAAUUACGGUUUGACGAAAACAUGUUUUGAUAUUUCUUUUAAAAAAACCAAAAAAAAAAAAGAAAAACCAAAAAAAAAACAAAACCCAACGUGAUAUUUUAAUGAACUGAAUCUACAUUAUUUAUGUUUUUAUUAACACGUACUCAAAAAAAAAAAAAAAUGAAUUAAAUUGCGUUCUGAUGAAAGACACAUAAUUGCAUUAAACUUUGAAAAUUUUAAGGGGUCCCCCUUAAUCCGCCGGUGAAGUCACCUUACAUGUUGGAGUGUAGGCGUGGCCUAAAUCUAAAUUCACUUAUUAAAAAAGGUUAAACCUAAGUUGUAUAGUACUCUCAAUUCUUUUCAAAGAAUAUUAAUAAUGUUUAAUUUCAACACGGCAAUAGACUGUUAUAAUGUAAGAGUUAUGGUGUUUUUCAUUACGAUAUAGUGUGUUAAGGUUGACCUUUUCGCACGUAAAAUCUUAUGUUGAUUUAUUCACAAUAACAAAUUCUUUCUGUCGGCACUCCAUAAGCAAUAUGAAAUACAAAUUAAUCAUUAAACUAAAUCAAUGCCCACUCAUAUCUUAAUUCCCACAACACAAAUUAAUCAUUAAACUAAAUCAAUGCCCACUAUCUUAAUUCCCACAAUACAAAUUAAUCAUUAAACUAAAUCAAUGCCCGCUCAUAUCUUAAUUCCCACAAUACAAAUUUAGAAAAAAAGGGUUUCAUAUGAAUUGGCUGGAAAUAAAUGAGAACGUUUUCACACUUUUAACAUGUAAGGGGCCUCCGUGGCCGAGUGGUUAGAGCAUCGCGCUCAAAAUCACACGGUCGUAAGUGAGAAAGUUCCCUAGUUUACUUUCGGAAGGUCGGUGGUCUCUUCCCAGGUACAUUUUAUCUGGGUUAUCUCUUCCACCAAUAAAAACUGGGCCCCACCAGGUAGAUAAAAAAUUGUUGAGUGUGGCGGAAAACAUCAAUAUAACAUGUAAAAAAAAAAACAACCCCAUCCUCAAUAGUAAUUUGAAGAAUUGAAGAACAGUUUAGGAGUUUAUAUUUUUGAAUGUAGUUUUAGAAAUUUCAACAAAGUUGCCAUUUCUUGACACAGAGGCUAAGAUAAAGCAUGAAACUAUGGACGAUAAUAAUUUCAAAGGAAAUAGAAAUGAGAAAAUUAUAUAGGUUUACUUUCAUUUUGAUACAAAAAACUGUCUACCACAAAAUAUAUUCCUAUCUACUUGUAUACUCUUUCUAAAUUGGAAUUGGUUUUGUUCUCAAAAGUAAAAAAAAAAGUACUUUAAGACAACACAGUGACAUGUCCAGUUUAAAUCACAAUGUCCUUCAAAUGACCACUGGAUUAACGUGUGCCAACAUUUCAAAACAAAAGUUUGAAUGACCAAAAUUAAUUUAUCUAUUCAUCAGCAUAAUUCAGUUGAAUAGAAAGAGACUAAAAUGGAACACCACUAGGUCACUAACACGACCACUGUGUCACUGGGUCAACCUAUGCCCAGGACGGACAAGGCACUUGAGAAACAGAUUGCUAAUUUUAACCGUUGUGAAAUUGAGUUUCUCUAAUGAGAAAUUCUCACGUCAUAUCUGUGUCGGCUAACAAAAUACAGUGUAAAUUUGUUCUUCUUUAUUUAGGACAAAAUUACUGUAGAUGGCGACCUUAAAUAAAUAUAAAAUCUUUCACGGUAGUCGCUAACGAGUGUGACAAAAACGAAAGAAAGUUGCAAAUCAAAUACGAGCAGAUGAACAGAUCGCUCAACUUUUGACCUUGUAAAUGGAGAAAAUUUAUUAAUAUUUACCUUUUAAACACAAGCAUCUUGCUUUUCACAAGGGGUGCACUUUUAAAGAAAGUUCAUGUUUGCACACGAUUUCAGUUAAAAGAUAUAUUCAUUUGAUGUUUCUAGAUGUCUAAUUUUUAAGUGUUUUCUACAUGUAUGACGAGUUGUGCGUGAUUGCUUAGGCAACUAUAUUAGGAUUUGUUUUUCCAAAAAUACCUUACCUCUUACGUGUAAUAAUAAUGAAAUAAGACGUGCAAUUUUGCAUAACAUCAAGAAAUAACAAAGGUGAUUAUAGCCUACGAUGUAGACUUAAAGUUUUUAUGUUCAUUUGUUUUUUUUUGUUUUUUUUUAAUGUACGGACUUAUUAAUUGUAAUAAAACAUAGAGACUUGUAAACCAUCGGCUUCCCAAUUAAAUAUGUUGGUCUACAUCCGCUGUACAGGGCACUCGUACGGCCAGUCUCCUUUAAAUUGUUUGAAGUUCUGUUUUUACAUCCUUGAUGCUGACAUUUCCAACACCUAGAACUAAGCCCAUUUUAUAUCAAUAAUAUUAUCAGGAGUGAUUCUACCUAGUCUGUAUUUCUGGUUGUUUAUUCAAAUACUUAUCGUUUCUUUACACAUCGACUUCUAAUAAAAAAUUGCCAGUUCUCGAGUGACAGUCCCCCGACUUUCUAGGACAGAUUUUGGACUAGCAAGACAAGAGUUGUAUUUCGGUUCGCUAAUUCGUAAUCCUCAUGAUCACUCAAACAGCAUGCAUUCACUCUUUGUAGUUAAGUUUGUACCUGACUUCUUAUGAAUUAAAGAUUUCAAAGGCAAAAAUAACUUAAACAGCAAUUUUAUAUUAGCAUGAAACAAGGAAGCUGCUAAACACGACUGCCCAUUAACACAUAGUAAUAAAAAAUGAAUUGACAUCCAAACAAAUCAUUCUUUGACUUCAAAAGGCUCUGACAGCUUUCUUCAAUAUCGGAGAGUAUUAAUAAAGUGUUAGUUCUAAGAUGAAUUUGUUAUAUAUCAAAUUGUAGGAAAUAUUUAACUGUAAUGAAGUAUAAUUUGAGAAGCAAAUUAUUGUUUAUGAAAAUAGACCUUGAAAACAUAAACACUAGACUUGAAAACAUAAACACUAGACUUGAAAACAUAAACACUAGACUUGAAAACAUAAACACUAGACUUGAAAACAUAAACACUAGACUUGAAAACAUAAACACUAGACUUGAAAACAUAAACACUAGAUUUGAUAUUACAACUGUAGUGCUGUUUAUUCAUGAAAGUAUGACCUUGAAAACUAAUGGGCAUUUUCCUCUUUUCAUGGGACACAUGUAUACUAGCUUUGCUCAUUAUAGCCGUAUUAGUACUUUUUAUCCUUUUCACUAGGUUUUGAUGGAUCAAUAGGCAGACAACAAACAUAUAUAACUGCACUGUACCAAUUAUAAUACAAAACAUCUGCGAAGGUUGAAUAUGUGUAUGAAGUUUAAAUUAUCCCGGCCUCAUCAGUAUCAUUUCUCUCUGGUUUUGUGCCUACACGUUUACUAUAUACUGUAUGUUUUCUGAUGAAUGUCCAUCUGUUGUAUCACAUAAAAUAUGCAAAGUACUUUGCAUGUACACGC
Long non-coding RNA from Ostrea edulis (European flat oyster), 5320 nucleotides. RefSeq lists it as uncharacterized. The transcript is spliced from 2 exons. The record is from RefSeq and is a predicted model, not a curated record. NCBI's taxonomy places the organism in Eukaryota, Metazoa, Mollusca, Bivalvia, Ostreida, Ostreidae.